AUGCAUGGACAUACGGGGAUCAGAGGCAGCGAGGGUGAAGCACAUUUCCUUAUAGCUGCAGUUGACUUGACGAGUGAAAUCUUCACGGGGCAUAUCAUUAUUGAGUCCGACUGCGCCACAGUGGCCACAGCUAUCAAAUACCAUAACGUCAAUAGAUCUAAGUGGUUGGUUAUUUAUGAAGAUGCUAAGCAAUCAACUAAUAAGUUUGAGUCCUGUUCUAUCAGGAGGAUUGGUAGAGAUAGCAAUCUUAUAGCCCAUUGGCAGCAUACAGUAGAAUCAAUGUUGUAUUCUUUCUUCCGGCCAGUGUGCCAUCUUGUAGUACUCCAUACUGUCAAAGUGAUUGUAACCCUGGUCAAUCCCCAUUUAAUAUAA
Molecule: ribosomal RNA, 372 nt
Filed under: Triticum aestivum (bread wheat)
Lineage: Eukaryota; Viridiplantae; Streptophyta; Magnoliopsida; Poales; Poaceae
Description: partial small subunit ribosomal RNA
Source: RNAcentral